Molecule: long non-coding RNA, 1178 nt
Organism: Selaginella moellendorffii
Lineage: Eukaryota; Viridiplantae; Streptophyta; Lycopodiopsida; Selaginellales; Selaginellaceae
Exons: 3
Source: RefSeq, a predicted model, not a curated record
AACAUGGGGCGAGAGGAGCAUCGCUGCAAAAAGAGCAUGGAUGCUGCCAUCCUCGAGGACCGGGCCUUCAUCCAGAACGAGGCCAAGGAGAAAAUGGGAGGAGUAAACAGGUGGCGUUCCUGUGUCACAGACAUCGAGUCCCACGAGUGACUCUGGUUUCGGCUGGAUGUGUUUGUGUCGAAUCAAGAGCAGGUGAUGGAGCGGCCACUGCUCAAUCUCAUGAUGAAGUACGCCUACACCACGACUUGGCUGCGGGACGCUCCUGCCAUGCUAUAAGUUGGUACAUGGAAGAUGGGGAAGAUCUCCAAGAAUUGGCUGCAAUGUCUUCAAAUUCCAGUGCCCUGGAUUGAGUUGGCCAUUGCGUACUAUUCUGCUGUCAAAAGGAUCAUCCUAUAGAGGCGAGAACUGGCUGGUUCAUAAAUUUUGUGAUUUACAACUGUUUUACAGUUUUGGAGCCAAUUGAAAUAUCCAGUGUUUUUAAUGAGAGCUGAUGCAUCCCCAAACGGAGAUUGUAAGGUGUUGCUGUUUUCCUGGAUGGAAACUCUUCCGUCGUAGCAUCCAGUUGGGACUUGCUAUGGCAAGAGUGUCAGCGCAGGAGACAACACCAGGACAAAAAUGAAGCUCUUGGCAGACAUGAGGCUUGGAAGGGACAACUUUUACACUUUACUUCCAUCAGUCGAGAAGAACCGAUCCAUCACAGUCCUGAAGAACAGCAAAGUUAGAAGACAAGAAUUUAAAUCUUGCAAAGCUACUCCUGUCGAUGAAACAGUCGUGGAAGUGCAAGCGAAGAACUCCUGCUGGUAUCGUCCUGUCCCAAUCGGUGUGCUUGCUCAGAGUGUCCCUGAUGAUUCUCUUGGCUUGAGGACAGGAUCUCGAGUAACUGUGGUAGCCAUUCUUGUAUCCUCCACUCUCAUCAUGAUCCAAAACACUAGCUCAGAGACAGCAGAAGCAAAACCAAAAUGUUCCCUCUCCAACUUCCCAUCCUCAGGUAUUGCAGCUUGGCAUGUCUUCUUCCUCCUCGAAUUUUCUUGGCAGUAAUCGAUGAUCUGAAGAUGAGAGUCGUUCCGUGAUGAAGUGGGUCACUGAUACAAGGCUCUUAUAGUCCAGGUUAAGCCGUCACAAACCGUGUCUGCUGCCUCUAAUGAGUGUUUCCAUGCUUAAGAAAUCCUUUGACAUCA